GAUGAAGGCCUUCGGGUUGUAAAACUCUGUCUUCUGUGAAGAACAAGCCUAUGAACGGAAUGCUUAGGCCCUGACGGUAACAGAGGAGGAAGCCCCGGCUAACUACGUGCCAGCAGCCGCGGUAAGUACGUAGGGGGCAAGCGUUGUCCGGAAUCACUGGGCGUAAAGCGCGCGCAGGCGGCUGUCUACGUCCGGGGUGAAAGCCCAGAGCUCAACUCUGGGAUUGCCUUGGAUACGGGAUGGCUUGAGGAUCGGAGAGGCAAGGGGAAUUCCACGUGUAGCGGUGAAAUGCGUAGAGAUGUGGAGGAACACCUGUGGCGAAGGCGCCUUGCUGGCCGAUUUCUGACGCUGAGGCGCGAAAGCGUGGGGAGCAAACAGGAUUAGAUACCCUGGUAGUCCACGCCGUAAACGAUGAGUGCUAGGUGUUGGGGGGUACCACCCUCAGUGCCGAAGCUAACGCAUUAAGCACUCCGCCUGGGGAGUAUGGUCGCAAGACUG
Molecule: ribosomal RNA, 498 nt
Filed under: uncultured Bacillota bacterium
Lineage: Bacteria; Bacillati; Bacillota
Description: bacterial SSU rRNA
Rfam family: Bacterial small subunit ribosomal RNA
Source: RNAcentral